CUAAACCUAAUACUAGUUAAAUCACUAUGUUACCCAUAAUGCUAAACCUAAUACUAGUUAAAUCACUAUGUCACCCAUAAUGCUAAACCUUAUACUAGUUAAAUCACUAUGUCACCCAUAAUGCUAAACCUAAUACUAGUUAAAUCACUAUGUCACCCAUAAUGCUAAACCUAAUACUAGUUAAAUCACUAUGUCACCCAUAAUGCUAAACCUAAUACUAGUUAAAUCACAAUUCCUCCAGUAUUGUUAAACCUAAUACUAGUUAAAUCACUAUGUCACCCAUAAUGCUAAACCUUAUACUAGUUAAAUCACUAUGUCACCCAUAAUGCUAAACCUAAUACUAGUUAAAUAGCAAUUCCUCCAGUAUUGCUAAACCUUAUACUAGUUAAAUCACUGUCUCCCAUAUUGCUAAACAUUAUACUAGUUAAAUCACUAAGGCGCCCAAAAUGGAGAGUCAAAUGUUGGCAAAGACUGUAGAUUGUAAAUGCAUUUACAUGAAGUAAAUACAUUUCUACUAGUAGGUAGACUACUCUGACACUAAAAGCCCCCUAGUGGAGACACUACAGAAGGUAGAAUACUCUGACACUAAAAGCCCCCUAGUGGAGACACUACAGAAGGUAGAAUACUCUGACACACCAAACCCAUUUUCUACCAUGGAUCUAGAAAAUGCCUUAAGCCUUUCUCACCAUUACCAAUUUGUUUUUCUUUUGCUUUCGCAAGCUAUACCAUAACCCUUUGCCAAAUACAAGACAUGUCAGUGUAAUAGAAUCACCUUCUAUGUCGGUGCCUUUUCUCUCAUCUCUCCUGGAGGAUAAAUGGAGAAACAUCAAAUGUCAUAUCCCAUUUUCUCAUAUUGUAUAACAUUGAUGUACAUUUAUUUUGAAAGUGCUUAUUGAUUGUUAACAGUGAAAAGUCAGUGCUACAUAAUUCUAGUAUAGACGUCACCUUUUCUCAAACAUCAAAUGUUGACACCCACAUGAGAUUGUUACCUUGAGAGUUAAACUAACUUCUAGCACUGAUGUUGAUGUUUACUUUCUGUUUGUUUGUAUCUUUGUUUGUGUCAUUUUCUAACGUUGAUUUUUCUUGUAACUGGACAUAUUUUAAUGUAUUACAAUGUGUUACUGUCUUGUAUAACUACCUCAGGGUUAAAACAUUCAACACAUUUAUCUCGUUUACUCAUCAUGAUUUCAGUAGAGAAGUUUCAGUAGAGAAGAUCUUAUUGCUGAUUGGACAGUACUCUGGACCCUUCUGAUUGGGCAUCAUACACGUCCUGAAUCUGCUGGACAUCCCUGUAAACACUUGCUGCCAACACUAGCAACGUAUGGUGUUUUGUGUCAAUCAAUCAACCUAUUAAAUGAUCAACAAACCGUCUCAAUAAAAUGC
This is a long non-coding RNA of Esox lucius (northern pike), 1383 nucleotides long. NCBI's taxonomy places the organism in Eukaryota, Metazoa, Chordata, Actinopteri, Esociformes, Esocidae. The record is from Ensembl.